Carassius auratus (goldfish) is the source of this 4316-nucleotide long non-coding RNA. The record is from Ensembl. NCBI's taxonomy places the organism in Eukaryota, Metazoa, Chordata, Actinopteri, Cypriniformes, Cyprinidae.
AUGAUGUUCUGCAGAGCGGCUUGGCAACGACUUGCACCUCUGGCACGCAAAACACUCACUCCUCUCAGCAAUGCUGUAUUCCCUACACGACCGAUGUCCUUUGGUCUACCGGCGUCCGGCACCAACAUGGCGUACGUGGUACUUGGUGGAAGCUCACUUACUGCUGCUCUUGUUUAUGCUUAUAAGACAAUAAACUCUGACAGUGCGAGAUAUAAUGAAAGAAUUGCUCAACUUGAGGCCAGACCUAAAAGAGCAUUGGCCGAGGUAGCCUCUGUAGCAGAAGCAGAAACCACAGCAGGUGAGAUGAUUAAUGCAGAGGCUGAACAGACCCCAGAACCCGUGGAGGCAGCAACUGCGAUUGUAGAAGCAGUAGCAGCUGAUGCUGAGGAACCUACUGCAUCUGUUGCUGAGGAUGUCACUGCUGAGGCUGCUGCUGCUCCCAUUGCUGAAACAACCGUUAUCCCAAUGUCUGACCUACUGAGCACUGUGAAAAUCCUGGCUGGAUCUACAGGAGAGAUCGCAGCUGCUUCAGUCGGUGAUCAGCACCUGGUGGCCCCAGUGAGAUUGGCUGAGGAAAACAAUUCUAUGGAGGCCCUCAAUGGGCUGGAGGUUGCUGAUGUUAAAGCAGAGGUUGCAGUAGAAGUGCCUGAGGGAGCUGUGGUUGAGGAGACCAUGAUAGGUAGAUUGAAUCUGAAAACAGAGGGAAAAGAGCUGGAAGGACUGCCUUCAUCACUUGACGCAGUAGAAGAAAUUAUUGUUGUGGCAGAUGACCGUGUCGAGUCUGAGGAAGAGAGCCCUGCUGUGCCUGAAGAUAAUGCUGAAAGCCUCGCUUCAUCUCAAAAGGCCCUUGUUACAGAGAAGGAGAGCAUUUUGGAAUUUGAAGACUCAACAAGCCAUGUGGUGAAGCUCUCAGAAGAUGAGACAGUCUCUGGAGCUGCAGAGUUGACAUCAGAAACAGUCGAGGAAGUAGGUCAGGAAAUGGAAGAAUGUAAAGCAUUGUGUCACGAGCCAACUGCCACAGAAACUGCACAUGCAGAUCUCACAGCACCACCAGCAGACCUGGAGGACCCACUACAGGCUACGGGUGAAACAGACGCUGCAGAAGAAGGUCUUGUUAUGGAAAUGGUGCAGGAUGCUGUGGAGAAAGCUAAACCUGUUGAGGCAUCCGAUGAAGCUGUUGGAAGUGGAAAUGUUGCAUUGACCAUGACACAAGCCUGAAGUGAAUGUACCACACCUGAGACACUGGAAAGAGUGAAACUUGACAAUCUGUGAUGUAAUACAUACAAGUUAACAUAUAGUGGUGCAGUUACAGUCAUAAAAAAGACCUAUAAAUUACUUUUUGUUUCCAACUGAAUUGCAAAUUCGGUGAAUGAAUAUGGUCUCCUUAAUUUAGUUAUUUCAUCUGAAAAUGAGAUUUAGUCAGUUUCAGUUUUAAGUUUAAUUGAUCUAAUUUUCUGUCUCUGGAAAAUAGUGAUCUGUGACACUGUAUUAUGCUGAAUAUCAAAGGUUUUGUGGGCACAUUCGUGUAGUUGGAUUGCUUUUUAUUUUAAAGUGAAAAGACAAAAUUAGAAUUAGGGCAGAAAGUCCCAACUGGCAUGCUGUUUCUAGUGUUUAUUGUAAUUCAUUAGGUUAUUAUUCAGUUAUUCCGUUAUACACAAAAUAAUGUGUAAUCACAAUGGAAGGAAAUGAAAUUUUAAUUAAUCACAUCAAUCUUAAAUGUCUUUCUUUCUUUAUAUUUAUUUAUUUUUAAUGUAUGUGUACAUUUUUGAAAUCUUAUAAUAUAUAUAUAUAUAUAUAUAUAUAUAUAUAUAUAUAUAUAUAUAUAUAUAUAUAUAUAUAUAUAUAUGGCUAAUUAAGUUUAUUGUAUUCAAUUAAUUAAAAGGGUUGCUAUUAUGAUGUACAUUAAUAGAUGGUCAAUUAAAUACAUGUGUUGUAGAAUAAAUUUACCUUUCAUAACCUUUAAGAAUUAUCUCACUGGGAUUAUACUUUAUCUGUAAUUGAUUAAUUAUUUAGCUGAACUGUCAAAGCACAAUUUUAAAUAGUAUUUCAUAAUGACACACACAAACACACACACAGAGAAAGAGAGAGAGAGAGAGAGGGAAUGUUAGGCUUGAGUUAAUUUAUUAUGUGAUUGUGUUUUCUGCCUGAGAACAUGAUUAAACUAUUGAGUAUUGCUGAAAUAUGUGUGUAAAAAAAAAGUUAAUUAUUUUGUUUCAAGAAUUGCAUGAACUAUUUUAGAAAUUAGACCAACUGAAUUAGUGUGUUAGUGUGUGUAUAUAUGUGUAUAUAUAUAUAUAUAUAUAUAUAUAUAUAUAUAUAUAUAUAUAUAUAUAUAUAUAUAUGUGUAUAUAUAUAUAUAUAUAUAUAUAUAUAUAUAUAUGUAUAUAUAUAUAUAUAUGUAUAUGUGUGUGUGUGUGUGUGUGUGCGUGUGUGUGUGCGUGUGUGUGUUAGCACUGAAAUGAAUCUUCACUAUAUGCUCUCACCAGUUCUUGGCAAGCCACAACAUUUGUGAAGUUAUUAUUAACAGAAAGAUUGUAUUUACAUUAAACUCAUUAAAUAUCUGAAUUUCAAAAUUGUUUUUGUUACUAAUUCACAAGCAGUCUGGGCACAACAAGUAGUCAAAAUACAAGUAGAACAUUCAUUCUAGAAUUUUAGUAUUACUUGCUGUGUGCUUCUUCUCUGCAUGGCGUAUAACCUGAUUCUGUUAUUUUAUUUUUCUGUUAUUUUAUUAAAGAUGAAACCAGUAAAAAAGCUAAUAUGUAAAAUAACAGGCCACUUGCCUUGGCAAGGUUUCAAUUGUAUUAAAACAAAUCCUUUUGGAUAGGCCCCGUCUCCCUGUGAAAAUCACUAUGAAACCAAUCAACAACAACAAAUACAGAUAUUUUGUUGUUGUUUGUAAAUAUCAACAUUAAUUUAGUUAUUUUAUGCAUUAGUUAAUGCAUUAACAAACAAGCUUAGUUUUGUGCAGUUUUUAUUAACAUUUUUAUAAUCCAAUUAACAAAUCUGAUUAUACAACCAUUAAGCUGUCAAAAAGUUGCUGUCGAAAACGUAAUUUAAAGCUAUAUCAUAGUUAUUAUGGCUAUCAGUGAAACAAUAAACGUGUUGUUUCACAUAAUGCACCCUACAUUAUAGUUUAACUGACUAAAAUCCACUGCAAAUUAGUUUUCAGAUUUUGUACAUCUCAUAGUAGAUUCAGAAUUUAAUCAUUUUUGAAACCUGUUACCAAUAAAACUUUAUUUUCUUCAUAAAAUAACCUGUGUUCGACGUUGUUUUCAUAGGAGUUAACAGUAUAUCAAAGUAUGUAAUUACGCCAGAAGUCAAACAGCAGAGGGCGCUACCGUAUACAAAAAAAAAAAAAAAAAAAAAAACACAAAAAGAAAGGCAUUAUUUGUGCAAUAAAAUGAGAACGUGAAUAUUAAUAUGGUUACGGAAUUGUAACAAUGUAUGGCAUCAGUCCUGAACUUAUCUUUGGUUAAAGAAUGGCUUAAUUAUUUAAUUUAUUUUAACAUUAUAUUCGGUAUGGUGCAGCAUAUAUCAAACAAGACCACCUAUCCAUAUAUUUUCUACAUGUGAAAAUUAGGAAUUAUUUCUUUUGAAGCAUUAUUGCUAUGGCAGUCUGUGCCUUUUUUAAUUCUCAGUAAGCCUACUUUACACUUUAACUUCCGUUUUCCCAGUCUCGUCCAAAUAUCCAUUGUUAUAGUUUUGAAAAAAAAUAAUAAUAAUUUUGUUUUGUUUGACUUUUGCACUCACAAAAUCAUCACUCGCGUUUUAGAAUUCUAGUUAUACCAACAAAAAAAAAAAAAAAAACUGUGAAUAUAUAUAUAUAAUGUAUUUUUGUAAUUGUGACUAUGUCUCUAGGCCGUUUUCAAUUUCAAUUAAAAAAAUACGACAUAACAAUAACAAAUAACAAUAGAAUAGUAUGGUGUUUAGUAGUGAAUAAGUAGUUAAUUAGUAUUAUUCAAUAGUGAAUCUCUCUCUCUCUCUCUCUCUCUCUCUUUCUCUUUCUCUUUCUCUCUCUCCCCCCUCCCCCCUCCGUUACCUGUCCUACAUCAUGAUCUUCUGUCUGCAAACAUAGCCCCUCCAUGUCCUCUCGGCUCGGUCACUGUAAGGGACCAGUGGUCUUGUGUUCGCGGCCCGUCCAUCAGUCAGUGUAGUUCAGUGUGUGUUGUGUGUGUGAUGAUCAGGUGUGUUAGCGCUUAGCCACAGUGUGACGGACUCUCACCCGCCACAGCCACCAAACUUUGAAUGUUUCUCAUGUCUGUGUAAAUCAAACAAGCACAGAGUGUGGGUUUCAUUUGGAAAACCGUCUUUUCAAG